GGAGAGGUACCGAAGUGGUCGUAACGGGCCGCUCUCGAAAAGCGGUUGGGCGUAAGCUCACGUGGGUUCGAAUCCCACCCUCUCCG
Molecule: transfer RNA, 86 nt
Filed under: Candidatus Omnitrophota bacterium
Lineage: Bacteria; Pseudomonadati; Candidatus Omnitrophota
Description: Candidatus Omnitrophica bacterium tRNA-Ser
Rfam family: tRNA
About the family: Transfer RNA (tRNA) molecules are approximately 80 nucleotides in length. Their secondary structure includes four short double-helical elements and three loops (D, anti-codon, and T loops).
Source: RNAcentral